RNAcentral lists this ribosomal RNA (3888 nucleotides) under Triticum aestivum (bread wheat). RNAcentral's name for it is "partial small subunit ribosomal RNA". The record is from RNAcentral. Lineage: Eukaryota; Viridiplantae; Streptophyta; Magnoliopsida; Poales; Poaceae.
AUGCGACUAGCCGCCAUGGAGACCUCCCCUCGCCUUAAGCUCGUCUCGCUCGCUCUCCUACUAGCCUCGUUUCCCUUUCCCUGUGCCACGGCAGCGCUACCCCCUUCCCUCCUAGAAGAACAGGCCGGAGCCCUCCUCGCCUGGAAAGCUACCAUACACAACCCCCCAGCCCAGCUCCGAUCUUGGGGAAACACCACAACCCAGCCAUGUGGCUGGUACGGCAUCAAGUGUGGCAAGCAACAAGCGAGGCACCAAGAGCAAGAGGUGGUGAUCACCGAGAUCUCUCUCCGGGGGUUGUGGCUGAGAGCGAGGCUGGAGGACAUCAACUUCACGGCGUUGCAUACUCUCACGAGUAUCCGACUACCCUACAAUCAGAUAAGAGGCCCCUUUCCACCCGCUUUAGCAUCAAACUUGCCAAACCUCCGCCACCUCCUGCUCCAGGGGAAUGGACUCUCCGGUCAAAUACCGAGACAAAUAAAACACCUGGAGAGUCUCGUUGGGUUGGACUUGUCAAACAACCACUUGUCUGGUCCUAUACCCAUUGAACUAGGCUACCUAAACAAGUUGAAAAUGUUAGAUCUUUCCACCAACAACCUCACAGGCCCAAUUCCAAGAAGUCUAGGGAAUUGCAGUAAGCUCACCAUCUUGUACCUUGAUGGUAAUCAGUUAUCUGGACAUCUUCCUCGAGAACUAGGUUACAUCGUGAAACUACAGAAGUUAGCACUUAGCAGCAACAAACUCAUGGGUUCCAUCCCCAAUACCUUUGGGAGUUUGAUUAACAUCACUGGAUUGUACCUAUGGGAUAACCAACUAUCCGGACAUGUUCCUCCAGAACUAAGUUCCUUGGUGAAUCUGGAAGACUUGGAACUUGCCAAAAACAGACUCACGGGUUCCAUCCCUGGUUCCUUUGGAAAUUUGACCAAGCUCACUACCUUGUAUCUUUAUGGUAACCAGUUCUCUGGACAUGUUCCUCCAGAACUAGGUUCCCUUGUGAAUUUGCAAGUGUUGUCGCUUCACAACAACCAAUUAAUCGGUUUCAUCCCCAAUACCUUUGGAAACCUGAUCAAUCUCACUGCCUUGUACCUAUAUCAUAACCAAUUAUCCGGGCAUAUUCCUCAAGAACUAGGUUCCCUAGUAAAUCUAGAAUUGUUGGAUCUUAGCAACAACACACUCAUGGGAUCCAUCCCCAAUACCUUUGUAAAUUUGACCAAAAUCACUACCUUGUCCCUAUAUGAUAACCAACUCUCCGGACAUGUUCCUCGAGCACUAGGUUUCUUGGUGAAUUUUGAACUUUUGUUGCUUCAAAAAAACCAACUCACGGGUUCCAUUCCCGAUACCUUUGGAAAUUUGAACAAGCUCACUACCUUGUACCUUUUCCGUAACCAACUCUCUGGAUAUGUUCCUAAAGAAUUAGGUUCCUUGGUGAGUCUAGAAGACUUGCAACUUUACAAAAAUAAACUCUUGGGUUCCAUCCCCAAUACAUUUGGAAAUUUGACCAAGCUCACUACGUUGUACCUAUAUGAUAACCAACUUUCCGGGCAUGUUCCCCGAGAACUAGGGUGCUUGGUGAAUCUAGAAGACUUGGAACUUCAUAGAAAUAAACUCUUUGGUUCCAUCCCCAAUGCCUUGGGAAACUUGACCAAACUUACUACCUUGAACCUAGGGGGAAACCAACUUUCAGGGGGCAUUCCUCAAGAACUAGGCUACUUGGUGAAUCUAGAAGACUUGGAACUUGACAAAAACAAACUCAUGGGUUGCAUCCCCAAUACCUUUGGAAAUAUGACAAAGCUCAAUACCUUAUUCCUUGAUGAUAACCAAUUCUCCGGACAUGUUCCACAAGAAAUUGGCACCUUAAUGGAUCUCAAAUAUAUACAAUUUGAUGGUAACAAUCUCUCUGGUCCCUUGCCACCAAGCUUGUGUGUUGGCGGCAUGCUCAAGACAUUGAUCGCAUUUGACAACAAUCUCAAUGGGCCUUUGCCGUCAAGUUUGAUAAACUGCAGAAGCCUAGUUAGAGUUCGUCUUGAAAGGAAUCAGAUAGAAGGAGAUAUUUCUAAGAUGGGGAUUUAUCCAAAUCUUGUCUACAUGGAUAUGAGAUCAAACAACCUGUUUGGUCAACUAUCUUUUCUCUGGGGUGAUUGCCAUAAUCUUCAGAUGCUACGAAUUUCAAACAACAACCUUACGGGGGAAAUACCCGCAAGUAUGGGGCAACUAUCUCAACUAGGGUUACUUGAUCUUUCAUCAAACAAGCUUGAAGGAGAGAUUCCAAGUGCACUAGGAAAUCUGAAAAAAUUAUUCAACUUGAGCCUCGCGGACAAUUUGUUGCAUGGAAGUAUUCCGCAAGAAAUUGGAGCACUAUCCAGUCUGGAAUUACUGGAUUUGUCAUCAAAUAACCUAAAUGGUUUGGUACAAUAUUCAAUUGAGCAUUGUUUGAAACUUCGCCUUUUAAAGCUGAAUCACAAUAACUUCAUUGGAAACAUCCAUGCCGAGCUAGGGUCAUUGCGCAAUUUAUACGAAUUGGAUUUAAGUGACAAUUCAUUUAUUGGGGCAAUACCAAGCCAACUUAGUGGUUUGAGCAUGCUAGAAAAUCUGAAUCUUUCACAUAAUGAACUAAAUGGCUCCAUCCCAUCAUCAUUUCAGAGUAUGGAAAGCUUGACAUCCAUUGAUGUAUCUUAUAAUGAAUUGGAAGGGCCAGUCCCGAACAGUAAGCUCUUCCAACAAGCUCCAAACCAGCGGUUCAUGCAUAAUAAGAUGCUAUGUGGUGUGGUGAAUGGAUUACCCCCUUGCAAUAGUGUAACUCAGAGCAGAGGCAAGUGGAAAGGAUACAAAAUACUUGUACUAGCUCCUGUUCUGGCUCUGAUAUGUCUUAUUCUUAUUGUGAUGAUAUUGAUGUUCUGGCGUGAAAGAAAGAAAACCAAGGAAACCAACAAUGAUAAAGUAACACAAGAAAAAGUCUUCUCUAUUUGGAGUUUUGAUGGGGCAAAUGUGUUCAAGCAAAUAGUUGAAGCAACCAACCAUUUUAGCGAGAUGCAUUGCAUAGGAACCGGGGGAUAUGGAUCUGUCUAUAAAGCUAUACUUGCAACAGGCGAAAUAUUUGCAGUGAAGAAGAUACACAUGAUAGAAGAUGAGUGUUGCAUGAACAAGCAGUUGUUCAAUCGUGAAGUUGAGGCAUUGGUGCAGAUUCGUCAUCGAAACAUCGUACAACUUUUAGGUUAUUGUUCCUCUAGCCAAGGCAGGUUCCUUAUCUAUGAAUAUAUGGAGAGAGGAGACUUGGCAAAAAUGUUGAAGGACAAUGAAAGGGCAAUUGAAUUGGAUUGGAGAAGGCGGAUAUGUAUUGUAUUGGAUGUGGUUCAUGCUUUGGCAUACAUGCACCAUGACUGUUCAUCAACAAUAGUCCAUAGAGACAUAACAAGCAACAAUAUUUUGCUUGAUCAAGAAUUUAGAGCCUGCAUCUCUGACUUUGGUACGGCUAAAAUACUCAAUAUUUAUGGCCAAAAUCUCACAAGGCUAGCUGGGACGAAAGGCUACCUUGCCCCAGAGCUGGCAUAUACAGAAAACGUGACGGAGAAAUGUGAUGUAUACAGCUUCGGAGUGCUCGUUUUGGAGCUAUUUAUGGGAUCUCAUCCAGGCGAUUUGCUCUCAUCCCUCUCGUUGACCACCAAGAACAAUUUUGUGUGCAUGAAGGAUCUGCUGGACUCCAGGCUUGCCCUCCCGGAUGCUGAAUCCGCCAUAGAAAUAUACUGCAUGCUCAGUGUCGCAGUUCGGUGCCUGGAGCCGCUUCCAUCCCGCAGGCCAACGGCACGACGUGCCAGCGACGAGCUAUCUACGAUUAAAGCUUGUGAAGAUCGUGCUGAUUAUUUGCACGCCGGCAUCACCUUUCCUGUGAUGUAG